RNAcentral lists this unclassified non-coding RNA (334 nucleotides) under soil metagenome. Its description in RNAcentral is "partial contains 5.8S ribosomal RNA, internal transcribed spacer 2, and large subunit ribosomal RNA". The stretch from base 1 to 120 matches the Rfam family "5.8S ribosomal RNA", at positions 35 to 154 of the family's 154-position model. The record is from RNAcentral.
GAUGAAUAACGUAGUGAAAUGCGAUAAGUAAUGUGAAUUGCAGAAUUCAGUGAAUCAUCGAAUCUUUGAACGCACAUUGCGCCCGCCAGUAUUCUGGCGGGCAUGCCUGUUCGAGCGUCAUUUCAACCAUCAAGCCCCAGGCUUGUGUUGGAGCCCUGCGGCUGCCGCAGCCUCCCAAAACCAGAGGCGGGCUCGCUAUCACACCGAGUGCAGUAGUUUACUCUUCGCUCAGGGCGUGUGGCGGGUGCUAGCCGUAAAACCCCCGACUUCUCAAGGUUGACCUCGGAUCAGGUAGGAAUACCCGCUGAACUUAAGCAUAUCAAUAAGCGGAGGA